This 390-nucleotide ribosomal RNA is filed under the name uncultured bacterium. RNAcentral's name for it is "bacterial SSU rRNA". It matches the Rfam family "Bacterial small subunit ribosomal RNA", at positions 28 to 417 of the family's 1533-position model. The record is from RNAcentral.
GACGAACGCUGGCGGCGUGCUUAACACAUGCAAGUCGAGCGGUAAGGCCCUUUCGGGGGUACGACGAGCGGCGAACGGGUGAGUAACACGUGGGUGACCUGCCCUCAGCUCUGGGAUAAGCCUGGGAAACCGGGUCUAAUACUGGAUAUGACUCCAUGACGCAUGUUGGUGGGGUGGAAAGCCUUGUGCGGCUGAGGAUGGGCCCGCGGCCUAAUCAGCUUGUUGGUGGGGUGAUGCCUACCAAGGCGACGACGGGUAGCCGGCCUGAGAGGGCGACCGGCCACACUGGGACUGAGACACGGCCCAGACUCCUACGGGAGGCAGCAGUGGGGAAUCUUGCGCAAUGGGCGAAAGCCUGACGCAGCGACGCCGCGUGAGGGAUGACGGCCU